GGAAUCAGAAGUUUUACAGCAUUUUUCUGAAGGUUCCUCUUGAAGAAAUCUUGUACAGGAGAAAAAUGCGUCCAUGGGAAGGAUCAUAAGUUUGUUACUUGAAUUACAAAUGAGAGCAGUCCAGUUGAAAUAUUCAUUACUUAAUGUGGCAUAAUUAAGGGCUUCCAAAAUAAAAAUGUCUUCAUAUCUUCAGGCAUCCUGCAUUUCCAGAAGGCAUCCAAAGUUGGUCCAGGCUGUUACAAAGAGCAGUUAAAAAAAAACAUGUGGUUUUGAUGUGGCAGAUUGAACCUGUCUGAUUUAUGGCAGUUUGGAGUGUUCACUGCAUGUGCGAAAGGUGCAAGCUAAAUAUUAUCUGCCUUUUUGCAAAGCAUUUAAUUCAAUACUGGGAAAGCAGCAGUUGGCAGUCUGAUUCUCCUCUACCAGAUGAUGACUAUACUCCUCAAAUCAAAAUCAAGCUACCAGUUCUAUAGACUCUUCUCACAGCAGAUUGUGUCAAUAAAAGAACUCUGAAGAAGUGCUGGGAAUAGCAAGAUCAGCCACAUCAUCAUCUGUGGAGAGAGUGGUCAAGCAUUGGAACAGACUGUGCUGGGAAGUGGUGGAGUCUGUCCACACCUCUAGAGGUGUUAAAGAG
Long non-coding RNA from Lagopus muta (rock ptarmigan), 631 nucleotides. RefSeq lists it as uncharacterized. The record is from RefSeq and is a predicted model, not a curated record. The transcript is spliced from 4 exons. NCBI's taxonomy places the organism in Eukaryota, Metazoa, Chordata, Aves, Galliformes, Phasianidae.